RNAcentral lists this signal recognition particle RNA (298 nucleotides) under Carlito syrichta (Philippine tarsier). RNAcentral describes it as "Metazoan signal recognition particle RNA (ENSTSYG00000032558.1)". It matches the Rfam family "Metazoan signal recognition particle RNA". Rfam says of the family: The signal recognition particle (SRP) is a universally conserved ribonucleoprotein. It is involved in the co-translational targeting of proteins to membranes. Lineage: Eukaryota; Metazoa; Chordata; Mammalia; Primates; Tarsiidae. The record is from RNAcentral.
ACUGGUUGUGGUGGCAACUGCCUGUAGUCCCAGCUACACGAGAGGCUGAGGCAGGAGGACUGCUUGACCUCAGAGGUUCUGGGUUGCAGUGCGCUAUGCUAAUUGGGUGUCUGCACUAAGAUUAGCAUGAUAUGGUGACCUCCUGGGAGCAGGGGACCACCAGCUUGCCUAAGGAGGGAUGAAUCGGCCCAGGUUGAAAACAGAGCAGGUUAAAACUCCUGUGCUUCUCAAUAGUGGGACUGCACCUGAGAAUAGCCUUUGCACUCCAGCACAAGGGACAUAGCCAGACCCUGUCUCU